This 90-nucleotide transfer RNA is filed under the name Candidatus Terrybacteria bacterium CG10_big_fil_rev_8_21_14_0_10_41_10. RNAcentral's name for it is "tRNA-Ser". It matches the Rfam family "tRNA". Rfam says of the family: Transfer RNA (tRNA) molecules are approximately 80 nucleotides in length. The record is from RNAcentral. Lineage: Bacteria; Candidatus Terryibacteriota.
GGAGGGUUCGCAUAGUGGUCUAGUGCGCUCGCUUGGAAAGCGAGUAUGGGGUCAAACCCAUCAUGAGUUCAAAUCUCAUACCCUCCGCCA